This 420-nucleotide ribosomal RNA is filed under the name uncultured Gemmatimonas sp. RNAcentral's name for it is "bacterial SSU rRNA". It matches the Rfam family "Bacterial small subunit ribosomal RNA", at positions 355 to 774 of the family's 1533-position model. Lineage: Bacteria; Pseudomonadati; Gemmatimonadota; Gemmatimonadia; Gemmatimonadales; Gemmatimonadaceae. The record is from RNAcentral.
UGGGGAAUCUUGCGCAAUGGCCGAAAGGCUGACGCAGCGACGCCGCGUGUGGGAGGAAGCUCUUCGGGGUGUAAACCACUGUUGCCCGGGACGAACAGCCCUUUUCGAGGGGCCUGACGGUACCGGGUGAGGAAGCACCGGCUAACUCUGUGCCAGCAGCCGCGGUAAUACAGAGGGUGCGAGCGUUGUCCGGAAUCACUGGGCGUAAAGGGCGCGUAGGUGGUGGCUUAAGCGUGCGGUGAAAGCUCGGAGCUCAACUCCGAGUCGGCCGUGCGAACUGGGCUCACUGGAGCAUAGUAGAGGCAGGUGGAAUUCCGGGUGUAGCGGUGGAAUGCGUAGAGAUCCGGAAGAACACCGGUGGCGAAGGCGGCCUGCUGGGCUAUGGCUGACACUGAGGCGCGACAGCGUGGGGAGCAAACA